Molecule: ribosomal RNA, 1710 nt
Filed under: Escherichia coli
Lineage: Bacteria; Pseudomonadati; Pseudomonadota; Gammaproteobacteria; Enterobacterales; Enterobacteriaceae
Description: partial 23S ribosomal RNA
Rfam family: Bacterial large subunit ribosomal RNA
Source: RNAcentral
GGGUUGUGAGGUUAAGCGACUAAGCGUACACGGUGGAUGCCCUGGCAGUCAGAGGCGAUGAAGGACGUGCUAAUCUGCGAUAAGCGUCGGUAAGGUGAUAUGAACCGUUAUAACCGGCGAUUUCCGAAUGGGGAAACCCAGUGUGUUUCGACACAUUAUCAUUAACUGAAUCCAUAGGUUAAUGAGGCGAACCGGGGGAACUGAAACAUCUAAGUACCCCGAGGAAAAGAAAUCAACCGAGAUUCCCCCAGUAGCGGCGAGCGAACGGGGAGCAGCCCAGAGCCUGAAUCAGUGUGUGUGUUAGUGGAAGCGUCUGGAAAGGCGCGCGAUACAGGGUGACAGCCCCGUACACAAAAAUGCACAUGCUGUGAGCUCGAUGAGUAGGGCGGGACACGUGGUAUCCUGUCUGAAUAUGGGGGGACCAUCCUCCAAGGCUAAAUACUCCUGACUGACCGAUAGUGAACCAGUACCGUGAGGGAAAGGCGAAAAGAACCCCGGCGAGGGGAGUGAAAAAGAACCUGAAACCGUGUACGUACAAGCAGUGGGAGCACGCUUCGGCGUGUGACUGCGUACCUUUUGUAUAAUGGGUCAGCGACUUAUAUUCUGUAGCAAGGUUAACCGAAUAGGGGAGCCGAAGGGAAACCGAGUCUUAACUGGGCGUUAAGUUGCAGGGUAUAGACCCGAAACCCGGUGAUCUAGCCAUGGGCAGGUUGAAGGUUGGGUAACACUAACUGGAGGACCGAACCGACUAAUGUUGAAAAAUUAGCGGAUGACUUGUGGCUGGGGGUGAAAGGCCAAUCAAACCGGGAGAUAGCUGGUUCUCCCCGAAAGCUAUUUAGGUAGCGCCUCGUGAAUUCAUCUCCGGGGGUAGAGCACUGUUUCGGCAAGGGGGUCAUCCCGACUUACCAACCCGAUGCAAACUGCGAAUACCGGAGAAUGUUAUCACGGGAGACACACGGCGGGUGCUAACGUCCGUCGUGAAGAGGGAAACAACCCAGACCGCCAGCUAAGGUCCCAAAGUCAUGGUUAAGUGGGAAACGAUGUGGGAAGGCCCAGACAGCCAGGAUGUUGGCUUAGAAGCAGCCAUCAUUUAAAGAAAGCGUAAUAGCUCACUGGUCGAGUCGGCCUGCGCGGAAGAUGUAACGGGGCUAAACCAUGCACCGAAGCUGCGGCAGCGACGCUGAUGCGUUGUUGGGUAGGGGAGCGUUCUGUAAGCCUGCGAAGGUGUGCUGUGAGGCAUGCUGGAGGUAUCAGAAGUGCGAAUGCUGACAUAAGUAACGAUAAAGCGGGUGAAAAGCCCGCUCGCCGGAAGACCAAGGGUUCCUGUCCAACGUUAAUCGGGGCAGGGUGAGUCGACCCCUAAGGCGAGGCCGAAAGGCGUAGUCGAUGGGAAACAGGUUAAUAUUCCUGUACUUGGUGUUACUGCGAAGGGGGGACGGAGAAGGCUAUGUUGGCCGGGCGACGGUUGUCCCGGUUUAAGCGUGUAGGCUGGUUUUCCAGGCAAAUCCGGAAAAUCAAGGCUGAGGCGUGAUGACGAGGCACUACGGUGCUGAAGCAACAAAUGCCCUGCUUCCAGGAAAAGCCUCUAAGCAUCAGGUAACAUCAAAUCGUACCCCAAACCGACACAGGUGGUCAGGUAGAGAAUACCAAGGCGCUUGAGAGAACUCGGGUGAAGGAACUAGGCAAAAUGGUGCCGUAACUUCGGGAGAA